Molecule: unclassified non-coding RNA, 337 nt
Filed under: soil metagenome
Description: partial contains 5.8S ribosomal RNA, internal transcribed spacer 2, and large subunit ribosomal RNA
Rfam family: 5.8S ribosomal RNA (bases 1-120)
Source: RNAcentral
GAUGAAGAACGUAGCGAAAUGCGAUAAGUAGAGUGAAUUGCAGAAUUCAGUGAAUCAUCGAAUCUUUGAACGCACAUUGCGCCCCUUGGUAUUCCAUGGGGCAUGCCUGUUCGAGCGUCAUUUGUACCUUCAAGCUUUGCUUGGUGUUGGGUGUUUGUCUCGCCUCUGCGUGUAGACUCGCCUUAAAACAAUUGGCAGCCGGCGUAUUGAUUUCGGAGCGCAGUACAUCUCGCGCUUUGCACUCAUAGCGACGACGUCCAAAAGUACAUUUUUACACUCUUGACCUCGGAUCAGGUAGGGAUACCCGCUGAACUUAAGCAUAUCAAUAAGCGGAGGA